This 429-nucleotide ribosomal RNA is filed under the name uncultured bacterium. Its description in RNAcentral is "bacterial SSU rRNA". It matches the Rfam family "Bacterial small subunit ribosomal RNA", at positions 29 to 455 of the family's 1533-position model. The record is from RNAcentral.
AGUGAACGCUGGCGGCGUGCCUAAUACAUGCAAGUCGAACGGAAUUUAAAAGGGCUUGCUCUUUUAAAUUUAGUGGCGCACGGGUGAGUAAUAUAUAGCUAAUCUGCCCCUUGCUGGAGGACAACAGUUAGAAAUGACUGCUAAUACUCCAUACUCCUUUUUACCAUAAGAUAAAUCGGGAAAGAAUUUCGGCAAGGGAUGAGACUAUAUCGUAUCAGCUAGUCGGUGGGGUAACGGCCUACCGAGGCUAUGACGCGUAACUGGUCUGAGAGGAUGAUCAGUCACAUUGGAACUGAGACACGGUCCAAACUCCUACGGGAGGCAGCAGUAGGGAAUAUUGCGCAAUGGGGGAAACCCUGACGCAGCAACGCCGCGUNGAGGAUGACACUUUUCGGAGCGUAAACUCCUUUUGUUAGGGAAGAAUAANGA